AUCGAUGAAGAACGCAGCGAAAUGCGAUAAGUAAUGUGAAUUGCAGAAUUCAGUGAAUCAUCGAAUCUUUGAACGCACAUUGCGCCCCUUGGUAUUCCGGGGGGCAUGCCUGUUCGAGCGUCAUUUCAACCCUCAAGCUUAGCUU
This 145-nucleotide ribosomal RNA is filed under the name Botrytis cinerea. RNAcentral describes it as "5.8S ribosomal RNA". The stretch from base 1 to 123 matches the Rfam family "5.8S ribosomal RNA", at positions 32 to 154 of the family's 154-position model. Rfam says of the family: 5.8S ribosomal RNA (5.8S rRNA) is a component of the large subunit of the eukaryotic ribosome. It is transcribed by RNA polymerase I as part of the 45S precursor that also contains 18S and 28S rRNA. The record is from RNAcentral. Lineage: Eukaryota; Fungi; Ascomycota; Leotiomycetes; Helotiales; Sclerotiniaceae.